GCACUUUCAGUGUCCGAGUUGUAAUUUGAAGAAGGUAUCUUUGGGUCUGGCUCUUGUCUAUGUUUCUUGGAACAGAACGUCACAGAGGGUGAGAAUCCCGUGCGAUGAGAUGUCCCAGACCUAUGUAAAGUUCCUUCGAAGAGUCGAGUUGUUUGGGAAUGCAGCUCUAAGUGGGUGGUAAAUUCCAUCUAAAGCUAAAUAUUGGCGAGAGACCGAUAGCGAACAAGUACAGUGAUGGAAAGAUGAAAAGAACUUUGAAAAGAGAGUGAAAAAGUACGUGAAAUUGUUGAAAGGGAAGGGCUUGAGAUCAGACUUGGUAUUUUGUAUGUUACUCUCUCGGGGGUGGCCUCUACAGUUUACCGGGCCAGCAUCAGUUUGAGCGGUAGGAUAAGUGCAAAGAAAUGUGGCACUGCUUCGGUAGUGUGUUAUAGUCUUUGUCGAUACUGCCAGCUUAGACUGAGGACUGCGGCUUCGGCCUAGGAUGUUGGCAUAAUGAUCUUAAGUCGCCC
Molecule: ribosomal RNA, 509 nt
Filed under: Lodderomyces parapsilosis
Lineage: Eukaryota; Fungi; Ascomycota; Pichiomycetes; Serinales; Debaryomycetaceae
Description: Candida parapsilosis partial large subunit ribosomal RNA
Rfam family: Eukaryotic large subunit ribosomal RNA
Source: RNAcentral